This 233-nucleotide long non-coding RNA is filed under the name Malus domestica (apple). RNAcentral's name for it is "long non-coding RNA (MDOM_LNC011330)". The record is from RNAcentral. Lineage: Eukaryota; Viridiplantae; Streptophyta; Magnoliopsida; Rosales; Rosaceae.
AUUUAUCUACACUAAAAAGGGUGAGGGGGGCUAAACCUCAUAAUGGGCUAGCAAUAUUGCAGUUCAAAUUCUCACUAAGUGGCUACUAGUUCAGCUACUUGAAUUUUUUUCUCUUGUUCUAAAUGAAUCUAAUAUUGUUUGGGCCCAAGAUAACACUUUGGCCCGAGCCUGGAGUUGCUUUCGGUCCAAUGAGUAUCAAGAAUAUUCUCUGCCAUGGGCCGAGCUCAGUAGGG